GGGAGCGUAACUCAACGGUAGAGGGCUUGCCUCUUAAGCAAGUGGUUAGAGGUUCGAUUCCUCUCGCUCCCACCA
Molecule: transfer RNA, 75 nt
Filed under: Armatimonadota bacterium
Lineage: Bacteria; Bacillati; Armatimonadota
Description: tRNA-Lys
Rfam family: tRNA
About the family: Transfer RNA (tRNA) molecules are approximately 80 nucleotides in length. Their secondary structure includes four short double-helical elements and three loops (D, anti-codon, and T loops).
Source: RNAcentral